Molecule: long non-coding RNA, 483 nt
Organism: Zingiber officinale
Lineage: Eukaryota; Viridiplantae; Streptophyta; Magnoliopsida; Zingiberales; Zingiberaceae
Exons: 2
Source: RefSeq, a predicted model, not a curated record
UAUACAUGUAGAUCAUGCCUUAAGAAAACACAUCAACUCUACCUAGAGGAAAGGAAUACAAGCUACACUUGUCAAUGAAGAACUCACUUGUCCUAGCUUUCUUUGCACUUUGUUUGCUCAUGAUCUCCAAAACAGUAGUGGUAAGUAGGCAACUUGAGGAUAAACCACUGCCAUUCUCUCUCCAAGCGACUGACAAAGGGAAUGAAUACAUUAACAUUGACGGAAUUGCCUCUAGUUCCAAUGUUGUUGGAAAAACAGGAAACGAGGAGAGAAAGCUAGGAGAAACCAAAGCAAUUGGUGAUCUAUCAAUUGACAAAAACAGUUCCAAUGAUGCAGACAAUUUGGCCACACAAAUGAACACUCACAUUGACCUACGCAAAAAAUGGCAUUAAAUGGAUGUAAUGCCACCCUCAAAGCUAUGCUUGCUAGUUGUAUUAACUACUAUUAUAGUGUAAGAAUAUGUGUGUGGAUGAAUUUGCUCGA